Molecule: ribosomal RNA, 253 nt
Filed under: uncultured bacterium
Lineage: Bacteria
Description: partial 16S ribosomal RNA
Rfam family: Bacterial small subunit ribosomal RNA
Source: RNAcentral
UACGUAGGGUGCGAGCGUUGUCCGGAAUUAUUGGGCGUAAAGGGCUCGUAGGCGGUUUGUCGCGUCGGGAGUGAAAACUCAGGGCUUAACCCUGAGCCUGCUUCCGAUACGGGCAGACUAGAGGUAUGCAGGGGAGAACGGAAUUCCUGGUGUAGCGGUGAAAUGCGCAGAUAUCAGGAGGAACACCGGUGGCGAAGGCGGUUCUUUGGGCAUUACCUGACGCUGAGGAGCGAAAGUGUGGGGAGCGAACAGG